GAGGGGCAUCGGGAGGGAAGCUUGCUUUCCUUGCCGGCGACCGGCGCACGGGUGAGUAACACGUAUGCAACCUGCCCUCUUCAGGGGGACAACCUUCCGAAAGGGAGGCUAAUCCCGCGUAUAUCGGUUUCGGGCAUCCGAGAUCGAGGAAAGAUUCAUCGGAAGAGGAUGGGCAUGCGGCGCAUUAGCUAGACGGCGGGGUAACGGCCCACCGUGGCGACGAUGCGUAGGGGUUCUGAGAGGAAGGUCCCCCACACUGGUACUGAGACACGGACCAGACUCCUACGGGAGGCAGCAGUGAGGAAUAUUGGUCAAUGGGAGAGAUCCUGAACCAGCCAAGCCGCGUGAGGGAAGACGGCCCUAUGGGUUGUAAACCUCUUUUGUCGGAGAACAAAACCCGGGACGUGUCCCGGACUGCGUGUAUCCGAAGAAAAAGCAUCGGCUAACUCCGUGCCAGCAGCCGCGGUAAUACGGAGGAUGCGAGCGUUAUCCGGAUUUA
Molecule: ribosomal RNA, 499 nt
Filed under: uncultured bacterium
Lineage: Bacteria
Description: bacterial SSU rRNA
Rfam family: Bacterial small subunit ribosomal RNA
Source: RNAcentral